This 250-nucleotide ribosomal RNA is filed under the name uncultured prokaryote. RNAcentral's name for it is "partial 16S ribosomal RNA". It matches the Rfam family "Bacterial small subunit ribosomal RNA", at positions 524 to 774 of the family's 1533-position model. The record is from RNAcentral.
UACGUAGGGGGCGAGCGUUAUCCGAAUUUAUUGGGCGUAAAGCGUGUGUAGGCGGUUUAUUAAGUCUAAAAUUAAAGCCUGGGGCUCAACCCCAGUUCGUUUUAGAAACUGGUAGACUUGAGUAUGGUAGAGGCAAGUGGAAUUUCUAGUGUAGCGGUUAAAUGCGUAGAUAUUAGAAGGAACACCAGUGGCGAAGGCGGCUUACUGGGCCAUUACUGACGCUGAGACACGAAAGCGUGGGGAGCAAAUA